Molecule: non-coding RNA, 50 nt
Filed under: unclassified sequences
Description: L31-Gammaproteobacteria ribosomal protein leader
Rfam family: L31-Gammaproteobacteria ribosomal protein leader
Source: RNAcentral
CGCAUGGUGUUCGUGGAAAGCACGGAUGGCGAUGCGGCCUGAUAUGAGGU